Molecule: ribosomal RNA, 634 nt
Filed under: Trichoderma spirale
Lineage: Eukaryota; Fungi; Ascomycota; Sordariomycetes; Hypocreales; Hypocreaceae
Description: eukaryotic LSU rRNA
Rfam family: 5.8S ribosomal RNA (bases 253-406)
Source: RNAcentral
UGGACGUAAAAGUCGUAACAAGGUCUCCGUUGGUGAACCAGCGGAGGGAUCAUUACCGAGUUUACAACUCCCAAACCCAAUGUGAACGUUACCAAACUGUUGCCUCGGCGGGAUCUCUGCCCCGGGUGCGUCGCAGCCCCGGACCAAGGCGCCCGCCGGAGGACCAACCAAAACUCUUUUGUAUACCCCCUCGCGGGUUUUUAUAUCUGAGCCAUCUCGGCGCCUCUCGUAGGCGUUUCGAAAAUGAAUCAAAACUUUCAACAACGGAUCUCUUGGUUCUGGCAUCGAUGAAGAACGCAGCGAAAUGCGAUAAGUAAUGUGAAUUGCAGAAUUCAGUGAAUCAUCGAAUCUUUGAACGCACAUUGCGCCCGCCAGUAUUCUGGCGGGCAUGCCUGUCCGAGCGUCAUUUCAACCCUCGAACCCCUCCGGGGGGUCGGCGUUGGGGAUCGGCCCUUUACGGGGCCGGCCCCGAAAUACAGUGGCGGUCUCGCCGCAGCCUCUCCUGCGCAGUAGUUUGCACACUCGCAUCGGGAGCGCGGCGCGUCCAUUGCCGUAAAACACCCAACUUUCUGAAAUGUUGACCUCGGAUCAGGUAGGAAUACCCGCUGACUUAAGCAUAUCAAUAAGCGGAGGA